UGGGGAAUUUUGGACAAUGGGCGCAAGCCUGAUCCAGCCAUUCCGCGUGAGUGAAGAAGGCCUUCGGGUUGUAAAGCUCUUUCGCAAGGGAAGAAAACUUAACCUCUAACAUAGGUUGAGGCUGACGGUACCUUGAUAAGAAGCACCGGCUAACUACGUGCCAGCAGCCGCGGUAAUACGUAGGGUGCGAGCGUUAAUCGGAAUUACUGGGCGUAAAGCGUGCGCAGGCGGCCUGAUAAGUCAGAUGUGAAAUCCCCGAGCUCAACUUGGGAACUGCGUUUGAAACUAUCAAGCUAGAAUAUGUCAGAGGGGGGUAGAAUUCCACGUGUAGCAGUGAAAUGCGUAGAGAUGUGGAGGAAUACCAAUGGCGAAGGCAGCCCCCUGGGAUAAUAUUGACGCUCAUGCACGAAAGCGUGGGGAGCAAACAGGAUUAGAUACCCUGGUAGUCCACGCCCUAAACGAUGUCUACUAGUUGUUGGUGGAGUAAAAUCCAUGAGUAACGCAGCUAACGCGUGAAGUAGACCGCCUGGGGAGUACGGUCGCAAGAUUA
RNAcentral lists this ribosomal RNA (550 nucleotides) under uncultured bacterium. RNAcentral describes it as "bacterial SSU rRNA". It matches the Rfam family "Bacterial small subunit ribosomal RNA", at positions 355 to 896 of the family's 1533-position model. The record is from RNAcentral.